This 253-nucleotide ribosomal RNA is filed under the name uncultured bacterium. Its description in RNAcentral is "partial 16S ribosomal RNA". It matches the Rfam family "Bacterial small subunit ribosomal RNA", at positions 524 to 776 of the family's 1533-position model. The record is from RNAcentral.
UACGAAGGGGGCUAGCGUUGCUCGGAAUUACUGGGCGUAAAGGGCAGGUAGGUGGUCUCAUUUGUCUGGGGUGAAAGCCUUGAGCUUAACUCAAGAAGUGCCCCAGAAACGGUGAGACUAGAGUUCUGGAGAGGGUCGUGGAAUUCCCGGUGUAGCGGUGAAAUGCGUAGAGAUCGGGAGGAACACCAGAGGCGAAGGCGGCGACCUGGACAGAUACUGACACUCAACUGCGAAAGCGUGGGGAGCAAACAGG